This 444-nucleotide ribosomal RNA is filed under the name uncultured bacterium. RNAcentral describes it as "bacterial SSU rRNA". It matches the Rfam family "Bacterial small subunit ribosomal RNA", at positions 39 to 468 of the family's 1533-position model. The record is from RNAcentral.
GAAUUCGAUUCAGGCCUAACACAUGCAAGUCGAACGAGAUUAUAGGGUAAGCUUGCUUACCUUAUAUGACAGUGGCGCACGGGUGCGUAACGCGUAUGCAAUCUACCUUAAUCAGGGGGAUAGCCUCUCGAAAGAGAGAUUAAUACCGCAUAACAUUAUGAUAUGGCAUCAUAUUAUAAUCAAACAUUUAUGGGAUUAAGAUGAGCAUGCGUGACAUUAGCUAGUUGGUGAGGUAACGGCUCACCAAGGCAACGAUGUCUAGGGGAUCUGAGAGGAUGACCCCCCACACUGGUACUGAGACACGGACCAGACUCCUACGGGAGGCAGCAGUAAGGAAUAUUGGUCAAUGGACGCAAGUCUGAACCAGCCAUGCCGCGUGCAGGAAGACGGCCCUACGGGUUGUAAAGUGCUUUUAUACGGGAAUAACCUUCUUUCGGAAAGAAG